AUGAUGUCUGCUUCCCUCCCUCCCCCCAGCCUUAGGCUGCUCCAAUACACAAAUAAUGCUUAGCAUUUGCGUUUAUAGCUAUCAAAGCUCUUAACAGAGUUAUAGCCUUCGCUAUCCACUAAACUGUACUGCCUCCCCUCAGGAACUGAUAACAAGUGCACUAGCCAUGCGCCAGUUACGUAAACAGAGGGAAAAGCUUACCCUAUCCUUAGCUCUCUUCAUUAUGCCAGGUGUGGGAGGGAGUCCUGACCAAAUGCAUAUCAUCAUCCACCAGGUGUGCUGCCAUAACCGAGGCACAACAGGAACAAAAUGGCAGUGUUCAACUUUGAAUAAUUUCCCUCGCCCCGUUAGUUACACUGUAACGUACUGAGAGAAGGAGAUGAGGGGGUUUGGUCUCAAUUAUGUUCUAAAAAUGAUGAUGGCUGUGCAAAGUCUGCCCUUGCUUUGGCUCCAAGACACUACUUCACAUAAGGCCUUCACAGAUUUCCCUUGACAGUCUGCGUUUCACUUUUUCCAUGGACCUGCACUGUGCAUUAUUUCAGACAGAUCCAGUGAAUUAACAUAGUGUAGCUACUUUGGUAAUUACAUGCCCAGAUUCUGCUCUGCUCCUUUCUAUGUAGUCUCGACUGCUUCCCAGACAGAAAACAUCCUUCACCUUCUACAGUGUUGCAAAGUAUCACCCAGAGUCCUUGCUCAAGGGAGGAAGGUGGGGGGAGAAAUGCCAUUUCCAAAUGCACUUUUAGCUGUGGCUUUCAGGCUGGGUCUACUGAGUCUUUUUACCGAUUAAAAAAUUUCAGUUGGAGUGUGAUUCACUGAUACAGUUAAAUUGCUAAGACCAUUGUUUGGAUGCAGUUACAUAGAUGUUGGCCAACACACGUUAUUGGGCUCAGUAUGGGGUAAGCAGGUGAAAUACAUUGACCUGUGUUAUACAGGAGUUCAGAAUCAAAGAUCUAAUGGUCCCUUCUGACCUUGGAAUCUAUGUAUUGAUGGCUACGCUGGUAUAAAGGUGUGUAACUGGCCCAUAAUAGGGGGUUGUACCACUUUAUAUGGGUUUCAAACCAAUAGAGACUCCUAGAAAUGUGGGGCUGGAAGGGACUUCAAGUCCUGCCCCCCUGCCCUGUGGCAGGACCAAGUAAACCUAGACCAUCCCUGUGAUGUGUUUGUUCAAUUUGUUUUUAAAUGCUUCCAAUGAUGGGGACUCCACAACCUCCCUUGGGAGCCUAUUCCAGAGCUUAACUACCCUUAGAGUUAGAAAGUUUUUCCUAAUUUCUAACCUAAAUUUCCCUUGCUGCAGAUUAAGCCCAUUACAUCUUUGUCCUACCUACAGUGGAUGUGGAGAACAAUUGAUCACGGUCCUCUUUAUAACAGCCCUGAACAUACGAACAACCACACUGGGUCAGACCAGUGGUCUGUCUAGCCCAGUAUCCUGUCUUCCGACAGUGGCCAAUGUCAGGUGCUUCAGAGGGAAUGAACGGAACAGGAGUGUUGGUCAUUUCCUGUCUCUCUCAGCCACAUAAUCACAUUAUUUUGACCAGAUUGGAAGUCCUUUUCAGUACGAGGAAUGGGGAGAGGACCAUGAAGAAACCACACCUGCAAUUUCAGGCUUCCGGAUGCUGGGAAUUUUUGGAGGACUUGCAUCAUAUGCUGACCCCCAAGGAACAGUGAGCAAAGCAUUGGGAAUAAUGAAGGCUUUUAAUGUACUGCAAUAUAUUGCUUCAAUGACGAGAGGAAUUUUGCCACAUUAUACAGCAGUGAAACCCAUUCCACCACUGACAGCCAAAAAAACUUCUCACCUUUUUUCUGAGAGAACCGUUACCUCCAGCUAGAAUUUUUGUAUACAAAUUAAGGUAGCAGCAGCAGAAACAGUCAUAUGGAGAACCAAAGACCAUUUGGGACAUUCCUUUCUAGCACUAACUGGAGCAUGGUUCAGAUAACUAUUUUUGUCUUCUGCCCUGCACGUGGGACUUGUAUUUCUGCUCUUUAAACAGUUCUCAGAACCUCUUUA
This is a long non-coding RNA of Malaclemys terrapin pileata, 2005 nucleotides long. RefSeq lists it as uncharacterized. The record is from RefSeq and is a predicted model, not a curated record. The transcript has 3 exons. Lineage: Eukaryota; Metazoa; Chordata; Testudines; Emydidae.